Molecule: ribosomal RNA, 468 nt
Filed under: uncultured Gallionella sp.
Lineage: Bacteria; Pseudomonadati; Pseudomonadota; Betaproteobacteria; Nitrosomonadales; Gallionellaceae
Description: bacterial SSU rRNA
Rfam family: Bacterial small subunit ribosomal RNA
Source: RNAcentral
UCCUACGGGUGGCAGCAGUGGGGAAUUUUGGACAAUGGGGGCAACCCUGAUCCAGCCAUGCCGCGUGAGUGAAGAAGGCCUUCGGGUUGUAAAGCUCUUUCGGACGGAAAGAAACGGUUACGGCUAAUACCCGUGACUAAUGACGGUACCGUAAGAAGAAGCACCGGCUAACUACGUGCCAGCAGCCGCGGUAAUACGUAGGGUGCGAGCGUUAAUCGGAAUUACUGGGCGUAAAGCGUGCGCAGGCGGUUUCGUAAGACAGAUGUGAAAUCCCCGGGCUUAACCUGGGAACUGCAUUUGUGACUGCGAGACUAGAGUGUAGCAGAGGGGGGUAGAAUUCCACGUGUAGCAGUGAAAUGCGUAGAGAUGUGGAGGAAUACCGAUGGCGAAGGCAGCCCCCUGGGCUAACACUGACGCUCAUGCACGAAAGCGUGGGGAGCAAACAGGAUUAGAUACCCGAGUAGUCCU